GAUCCUGGCUCAGGACGAACGCUGGCGGCGUGCCUAAUACAUGCAAGUCGAGCGAUGAAGGAGAUACUUGUAUCUUUUGAAGAGCGGCGAACGGGUGAGUAACGCGUGGGGAAUCUGCCAAUGAGUGGGGGACAACAUUUGGAAACGAAUGCUAAUACCGCAUAAAAUCUAUUGAGACAUCUCAAGAGAUUGAAAGGAACAAUUGUUUCGCUCGUUGAUGAUCCCGCGUUGUAUUAG
Molecule: ribosomal RNA, 237 nt
Filed under: uncultured bacterium
Lineage: Bacteria
Description: partial 16S ribosomal RNA
Rfam family: Bacterial small subunit ribosomal RNA
Source: RNAcentral